UCCCCAUCUGUAGCAGUGCCUGCAAUGGCAU
Non-coding RNA from Tauraco erythrolophus (red-crested turaco), 31 nucleotides. NCBI's taxonomy places the organism in Eukaryota, Metazoa, Chordata, Aves, Musophagiformes, Musophagidae. The record is from Rfam.